GUUAUUUUGGCAGAUUAGUGCUAUAGAUUUAGAAUCUUUAUAUGUAAAUUUUUACAAAUAAUA
RNAcentral lists this transfer RNA (63 nucleotides) under Phyllotreta striolata. Its description in RNAcentral is "tRNA-Leu". The record is from RNAcentral. Lineage: Eukaryota; Metazoa; Arthropoda; Insecta; Coleoptera; Chrysomelidae.